Molecule: ribosomal RNA, 484 nt
Filed under: uncultured bacterium
Lineage: Bacteria
Description: partial 16S ribosomal RNA
Rfam family: Bacterial small subunit ribosomal RNA
Source: RNAcentral
AUUGAACGCUGGCGGCAGGCCUAACACAUGCAAGUCGAGCGGAUGAAGGGAGCUUGCUCCUGGAUUCAGCGGCGGACGGGUGAGUAAUGCCUAGGAAUCUGCCUGGUAGUGGGGGAGAAUGUCCGGAAACGGGCGCUAAUACCGCAUACGUGCUGAGGGAGAAAGUGGGGGAUCUUCGGACCUCACGCUAUCAGAGGAGUCUAGGUCGGAUUAGCUAGUUGGUGGGGUAAAGGCCUACCAAGGCGACGAUCCGUAACUGGUCGGAGAGGAUGAUCAGUCACACGGGAAUUGAGACACGGUCCAGACUCCUACGGGAGGCAGCAGUGGGGAAUAUUGGACAAUGGGCGAAAGCCUGAUCCAGCCAUGCCGCGUGUGUGAAGAAGGUCUUCGGAUUGUAAAGCACUUUAAGUUGGGAGGAAGGGCAGUAAGUUAAUACCUUGCUGUUUUGACGUUACCAACAGAAUAAGCACCGGCUAACUUCGUG